CUACACGACCGUACCGCAAACCGACACUGGUGCGCGAGAUGAGUAUUCUAAGGCGCUUGAGAGAACUCAGGAGAAGGAACUCGGCAAAUUGACACCGUAACUUCGGAAGAAGGUGUGCCCUAUUAGUGUGAAGCGAGCAGCGGAGCAUGAACGGGUUGCAAAAAAUCGGUGGCUGCGACUGUUUAUUAAAAACACAGCACUCUGCAAACACGAAAGUGGACGUAUAGGGUGUGACGCCUGCCCGGUGCUGGAAGAUUAAAUGAUGGGGUGCAAGCUCUUGAUUGAAGUCCCAGUAAACGGCGGCCGUAACUAUAACGGUCCUAAGGUAGCGAAAUUCCUUGUCGGGUAAGUUCCGACCUGCACGAAUGGCGUAACGAUGGCCACACUGACUCCUCCUGAGACUCAGCGAAGUUGAAAUGUUUGUGAUGAUGCAAUCUCCCCGCGGAAAGACGGAAAGACCCCAUGAACCUUUACUGUAGCUUUGUAUUGGACUUUGAACAGAUCUGUGUAGGAUAGGUGGGAGGCUUUGAAGCCCGGUCGCUAGAUCGGGUGGAGCCAACGUUGAAAUACCACCCUGGUGUGUUUGAGGUUCUAACCUGGGUCCAUUAUCUGGAUCGGGGACAGUGCAUGGUAGGCAGUUUGACUGGGGCGGUCUCCUCCCAAAGCGUAACGGAGGAGUUCGAAGGUACGCUAGUUACGGUCGGACAUCGUGACGAUAGUGCAAUGGCAUAAGCGUGCUUAACUGCGAGACUGACAAGUCGAGCAGAUGCGAAAGCAGGACAUAGUGAUCCGGUGGUUCUGUAUGGAAGGGCCAUCGCUCAACGGAUAAAAGGUACUCUGGGGAUAACAGGCUGAUACCGCCCAAGAGUUCAUAUCGACGGCGGUGUUUGGCACCUCGAUGUCGGCUCAUCUCAUCCUGGGGCUGUAGCCGGUCCCAAGGGUAUGGCUGUUCGCCAUUUAAAGAGGUACGUGAGCUGGGUUUAAAACGUCGUGAGACAGUUUGGUCCCUAUCUUCCGUGGGCGCUGCAGAUUUGAGGAAGCCUGCUCCUAGUACGAGAGGACCGGAGUGGACACACCUCUGGUGUAUCGGUUGUCACGCCAGUGGCAUUGCCGAGUAGCUAAGUGUGGAGGAGAUAAACGCUGAAAGCAUCUAAGCGUGAAACUCGUUUCAAGAUGAGAUCUGCCGGGGCCUCGAGCCCCCUGAAGAGUCGUUCAAGACCAGGACGUUGAUAGGUCGGGUGUGGAAGCGCAGUAAUGCGUUAAGCUAACCGAUACUAAUUGCUCGUGCGGCUUGAUC
Molecule: ribosomal RNA, 1297 nt
Filed under: metagenome
Description: bacterial LSU rRNA
Rfam family: Bacterial large subunit ribosomal RNA
Source: RNAcentral